RNAcentral lists this ribosomal RNA (497 nucleotides) under uncultured bacterium. Its description in RNAcentral is "partial 16S ribosomal RNA". It matches the Rfam family "Bacterial small subunit ribosomal RNA", at positions 28 to 507 of the family's 1533-position model. The record is from RNAcentral.
GAUGAACGCUGGCGGCGUGCCUAAUACAUGCAAGUCGAGCGAACAGACGAGGAGCUUGCUCCUCUGACGUUGGCGGCGGACGGGUGAGUAACACGUGGAUAACCUACCUAUAAGACUGGGAUAACUUCGGGAAACCGGAGCUAAUACCGGAUAACAUGUUGAACCGCAUGGUUCAACAGUGAAAGACGGUCUUGCUGUCACUUGUAGAUGGAUCCGCGCCGCAUUAGCUAGUUGGUAAGGUAACGGCUUACCAAGGCAACGAUGCGUAGCCGACCUGAGAGGGUGAUCGGCCACACUGGAACUGAGACACGGUCCAGACUCCUACGGGAGGCAGCAGUAGGGAAUCUUCCGCAAUGGGCGAAAGCCUGACGGAGCAACGCCGCGUGAGUGAAGAAGGUCUUCGGAUCGUAAAACUCUGUUAUUAGGGAAGAACAAAUGUGUAAGUAACUAUGCACGUCUUGACGGUACCUAAUCAGAAAGCCACGGCUAACUACGUG